RNAcentral lists this ribosomal RNA (668 nucleotides) under uncultured Candidatus Poseidoniales archaeon. Its description in RNAcentral is "bacterial SSU rRNA". It matches the Rfam family "Archaeal small subunit ribosomal RNA", at positions 1 to 675 of the family's 1478-position model. Lineage: Archaea; Methanobacteriati; Thermoplasmatota; Candidatus Poseidoniia; Candidatus Poseidoniales. The record is from RNAcentral.
UUCCGGUUGAUCCUGCCGGAGGCUACCGCUAUUGGAGUUCGAUUAAGCCAUGCGAGUCGAGAGUCUUAGGGACUCGGCGUACCGCUCAGUAACACGUGGGUAACCUGCCCUAUGCUGGGGAAUAACCUCGGGAAACUGAGAAUAAUACCCCAUAGUUCACCACGCCUGGAACGGUGGGUGGAUGAAAGCUCCGGCGGCAUAGGAUGGGCCUGCGACGUAUCAGGUUGUAGGGGGUGUAACGUACCCUCUAGCCAUCAACGCGUACGGGUGUUGGGAGACAUAGCCCGGAGAUGGAUUCUGAGACACGAAUCCAGACCCUACGGGGUGCAGCAGGCGCGAAAACUUGGCAAUGCGAGCAAUCGUGACCAGGGAACUCCAAGUGGCUGGGGUAAUACCCAGUUUUUUCUUGACUCUUCAAAGGUCUUGGAAUAAGGGGUGGGUAAGGACGGUGCCAGCCGCCGCGGUAAUACCGGCGCCUCAAGUGGUAGUCGCUUUUAUUGGGCCUAAAACGUCCGUAGCCGGUCUGGUGCAUUCGUGGGUAAAUCAACCCGCUCAACGGGUUGAAUUCUGCGAGCACGGCCAGACUUGGGACCGGGAGAGGUGUGGGGUACUCUCAGGGUAGGGGUAAAAUCCUGUCAUCCUGAGAGGACCACCUGUUGCGAAGGCGC